UAUCAAUAAGCGGAGGAAAAGAAACUAACAAGGAUUCCCCUAGUAACGGCGAGCGAACCGGGAAGAGCUCAAAUUUGAAAUCUGGCGUCCCACGGGCGUCCGAGUUGUAAUCUGCAGAGGCGUCUUCCGCCCCGGACCGCGUCCAAGUCCCUUGGAACAGGGUAUCAAAGAGGGUGACAAUCCCGUGCUUGACGCGACCCCCGGUGCUAUGUGAUGCGACCUCAAAGAGUCGAGUUGUUUGGGAAUGCAGCUCAAAACGGGUGGUAAAUUCCAUCUAAGGCUAAAUAUUGGCGAGAGACCGAUAGCGAACAAGUACCGUGAGGGAAAGAUGAAAAGCACUUUGGAAAGAGAGUUAAACAGUACGUGAAAUUGUUGGAAGGGAAACGAUUGAAGUCAGUCGUGUCCGAGGGGUUCAGCCGGUCCUGCCGGUGCACUCCCCUCGGACGGGUCAACAUCGGUUCUGUCCGGCGGACAAGGGCAGGGGGAACGUGGCACCCUCGUGGUGUGUUAUAGCCCCCCGUCGCAUACGUCGGUCGGGACCGAGGAUCGCAGCUCGCCCUCACGGGCCGGGGUUCGCCCACGUCCGAGCUUAGGAUGUUGACGUAAUGGCUUUAAACGACCCGUCUUGAAACACG
This 635-nucleotide ribosomal RNA is filed under the name Tremella mesenterica. Its description in RNAcentral is "LSU rRNA". It matches the Rfam family "Eukaryotic large subunit ribosomal RNA", at positions 41 to 663 of the family's 3401-position model. The record is from RNAcentral. Lineage: Eukaryota; Fungi; Basidiomycota; Tremellomycetes; Tremellales; Tremellaceae.